This 1219-nucleotide ribosomal RNA is filed under the name Corticeus sp. NLG-2012. RNAcentral's name for it is "partial 16S ribosomal RNA". The record is from RNAcentral. Lineage: Eukaryota; Metazoa; Arthropoda; Insecta; Coleoptera; Tenebrionidae.
AUCUUUAAAAUUAAAAGAUUUGGCGGUAUUUUAGUCUGUUCAGAGGAACCUGUUUCUUAAUUGAUAGUCCACGAUAAAUAUUACUUUAACUUUAAGUUUACAUAUCGUCGUUUAUAAAAAUUUUAUAAUAUAAUUUUUUCAGAUCAAGGUGUAGUUUAUGUUAAAGUUGAAAUGGGUUACAUUAAAAAUUUUAAUUAAAUUGGAUUUGAUAGUAAGCUCUAAAAUAUGCACAUAUCGCCCGUCGCUUUCACUUUAAAGUGGAAUAAGUCGUAACAAAGUAGGCUUAUUGGAAAAUGAGCCUAGAAUGCAAAUUAGAGCUUGUUAAGCUUUUUAUUUACAUUAAAAUGAAAAUUGUGGUUCAAUUUAAUUUGAAUUGAAAAACUUAUUUUAUUGGUUUUUGUUUUAUUUUUGUAGGAAAUAUAUUUUCUUUGAUUUUUUGUUAGAAAUAAUUUUAUUAUAGUUUAUUAGUACUGUGAAGGAUAAAUUUAAAUUUUAAAAAGAAUAUUAGAUAUAGUACCUUUUGUAUCAGGGCUGAUAAAUUUUUUUUUCCCGAAUCUAUAAAAGUUAUUUUUUUUGUUGUAUAGAAAUUUAAAAUUUAAUUAUAGUAAUGAAAUGUUAUUCGUUUUUAGUAUAUCUGGUUUCUUAAGAAAUAAAUUAAAUUUAGUAAUUUUAUAAUGAUUUUAUUAGGGAUAAGCUUAGCCUAUAAUUAAAAAUGUAUUUGUUUAAAAUUUUUAUAGGAUUAGAAAUUUCCACUUUUAAUUUGUUAUAAUUAUUGUUUUAAUUUUUUAUUAGGAUUUUUUUAUUAAUUUUAAUUAAAUAGUAAUAAUGAUUAGAUUAGUAAGAUAAUUUAAAGGAAUUCGACAAAUAUAAUUUUCACCUGUUUAUUAAAAACAUGUCUUUUUGUAUUUUAUUUAAAGUCGGUCCUGCCCAAUGAUUUAAUGGCCGCAGUAUUUUGACUGUGCAAAGGUAGCAUAAUCAUUAGUUUUUUAAUUGAAAGCUGGAAUGAAUGGGCUGAUGAGAAAUUUAUUGUCUCUAGAAUUUUAUUUUUGAGUGAAAAAGCUCAAAUUUUUUAGAAAGACGAGAAGACCCUUUAGAGUUUUUUUAUUGGGGUGAUAAGAAAAUUUAAUAAACUUUUCUGAUUUUUGAAUUUUUGAUCCUAGAUUAAAAGAUUAAAUUACCUUAGGGAUAACAGCGUUAUUUUUUCUUAAAGUUCUUAUUG